This is a non-coding RNA of Gasterosteus aculeatus aculeatus (three-spined stickleback), 442 nucleotides long. Lineage: Eukaryota; Metazoa; Chordata; Actinopteri; Perciformes; Gasterosteidae. The record is from RefSeq and is a predicted model, not a curated record.
UUCCACCCUUUCCAUGAAGGACACGUUGGUGCUGAGAGUCGGCAGAUUCAGGAAUGUCCCCACAGAAGCACAGAGGGGGAAAGUCCCCUUCAAGGCCUCUGAGGCCUCACGUCACACCUACCAGGUGUCCACCUGCACCUGGACGUCUCCUCUUAACGCAGACCUGCUGUCACUUCUCCGUACUUGUCUCACGUGUCUUGUGUUUUACAGUCUUAAUGAGUAAAAUAUAAAAAAACAAAAACACCGUUACAUGUUAGUGUGUCAAUAAGGAUGAUUUUAUACCUCUUAUAACAAGCAGGUUAAGCCUAGCAGCUCAUCUAUGUAGCCUGUAAUAUGGCUGAUUGUUAUUUUUAAAAGUUUGUUCUUACUUAUAAAGUUAAAACUUAAGCACUUGUCUUCUUCAGUGAUCAGAUUAUGAAAUAAAAGGGUGUUUACUGCAGAA